Molecule: ribosomal RNA, 597 nt
Filed under: uncultured Bacteroidales bacterium
Lineage: Bacteria; Pseudomonadati; Bacteroidota; Bacteroidia; Bacteroidales
Description: bacterial SSU rRNA
Rfam family: Bacterial small subunit ribosomal RNA
Source: RNAcentral
GCAUCAGGAAGAAAGCUUGCUUUCUUUGCUGGCGACCGGCGCACGGGUGAGUAACACGUAUCCAACCUGCCCUUUACUCGGGGAUAGCCUUUCGAAAGAAAGAUUAAUACCCGAUAGUAUAAUGAUUCCGCAUGGUUUCAUUAUUAAAGGAUUCCGGUAAAGGAUGGGGAUGCGUUCCAUUAGGUUGUUGGUGAGGUAACGGCUCACCAAGCCUUCGAUGGAUAGGGGUUCUGAGAGGAAGGUCCCCCACAUUGGAACUGAGACACGGUCCAAACUCCUACGGGAGGCAGCAGUGAGGAAUAUUGGUCAAUGGGCGGUAGCCUGAACCAGCCAAGUAGCGUGAAGGAUGACUGCCCUAUGGGUUGUAAACUUCUUUUAUAAAGGAAUAAAGUCGGGUAUGCAUACCCGUUUGCAUGUACUUUAUGAAUAAGGAUCGGCUAACUCCGUGCCAGCAGCCGCGGUAAUACGGAGGAUCCGAGCGUUAUCCGGAUUUAUUGGGUUUAAAGGGAGCGUAGAUGGAUGUUUAAGUCAGUUGUGAAAGUUUGCGGCUCAACCGUAAAAUUGCAGUUGAUACUGGAUGUCUUGAGUGCAGUUGAG